This 221-nucleotide long non-coding RNA is filed under the name Nicotiana benthamiana. RNAcentral describes it as "long non-coding RNA (NBEN_LNC020390)". Lineage: Eukaryota; Viridiplantae; Streptophyta; Magnoliopsida; Solanales; Solanaceae. The record is from RNAcentral.
AGGGCUAGUAGUAAGGCAUUGGGGAUCGUAGACCACUAAGGAGAGAGGCCAGUCUUCCUACUCAGCAUAGGACUUAGCUGGGAAGAGACUUUCUUCUUCUCCCCCUGUCGAUCUGGGAGCAGCCUUGUCUUUUCCUUUGUACUAUUUUUAGUUGAUAAAGAAUAAGCUCUGGAAGCGGAUAGGCCGAUGGUAGGGAAGGCUAGCACACAUCAUUUCUCUAA